CAGUUACUGAGCAGAGGCAACAUUUGAAGUAGGCCUUAAACAUGAAUCUUUUGAUUUAUGUCCUACUUCUGUCCAUUUGGACAACUAAAUGUUCAAAUAUAAGCAGACAUAAUGAAUCUUCUACUGUAGGUCUUAAGUCUCCUGAUGCUUACUCAGAAGACUCGGACAUGUUUAAGAAACAUCUAAUCAACAUUGUAACUGGAAUUAUGUUCGUGAUCUUUUUAUCUACUUGUUUUUGCAUGAUUCAUUAUAAUUGCAUGAUUGAACCCCUCAAAGAUAACUCAGUCAAAAAUGAAGGUACAGGAACCACAUUAUCCUGUCCACCUGUACUACCACUCAACGACUCCAAGAAAAACGAUUUGAAUUUGUGUAGUCCAAAAAAACAAGGCCUGCUAUCUAAUAAAGGCAAUUUACCUAGGCCUUCAACUACAGAAACAUCAUCCAUACCAUCCAGUGCAGGAAAGUUAAACAAGCAAUUAAGGUCCAAAAAGUCAUUCAAGUCAUCAAGCCGUGCAGAAGCAUUCAAAUCACCUUACCUGAAAAAGUCACAUAAGAUGCGGCUGAAAAAGAAACGUAAGCUAAAUUAUAUCCAUAAGCAUGCUGCACAAGUCCAUUCAGCUGAGGAAGUCAGGGUACUUUUGCAAGAUAAUCUACAGUCUCUAGGAGGACCUUAUCCAGAAAAUCAAACGCUGCCAGCCAAACCAAUGAAACUGAACAAACCACCUAAAACUCAUCGUCCAAAAAUGUCAGGGAGUGCAGGAAAGACACACAUGGUACCCAAACCCCGAUCAAGCACAUCUUGUCACUAUUACAAGGAAAGAUGCCUUGUUUGCAAAACUUCUAAGACUUUAGCCAGUAUGUCUGAAAAAAAGAAAAAAGCUGAAUGUCUUCCUGUUUCAAGUGAAAUAAUAUCUUUUUCUAGGUCCCUUUAUAAGGUAGAUUCCCAGGACCAUGCAUACAUUGCUAAUGUGGGUGACAAUGGUACAAUUGACAGUGAUGAUGACAGUGAUAAAGAGAUUACCAUUAUUUUAAAUGUAACGAGCAACGAUUUAUUCCUAAGGGCACCUUACAAGAAUUAAGGGCUCAAUAAAAAUAACAACUAUAAAGGAGCAGAUUUAUGCCAACUAUUUUAUGGUUGCCUUCACUUAAGACACUAGUAGAAAAUCUACUUCUGAUGACCAUCAAGAUUACACCUAUCCAUCUUUGAGGCAAUGUAUCUUAAAAAUCUCUAUUAAAUGCUCGAUAUAGCAAAUCACUCCUGUGUUUUUUAUUGUAUUUUAGAGGUGCACAGCUCUUUUGACUUAUCUAC
RNAcentral lists this long non-coding RNA (1309 nucleotides) under Chinchilla lanigera (long-tailed chinchilla). RNAcentral describes it as "lncRNA (ENSCLAG00000028264.1)". Lineage: Eukaryota; Metazoa; Chordata; Mammalia; Rodentia; Chinchillidae. The record is from RNAcentral.